RNAcentral lists this ribosomal RNA (443 nucleotides) under Mrakia blollopis. RNAcentral describes it as "partial large subunit ribosomal RNA". It matches the Rfam family "Eukaryotic large subunit ribosomal RNA", at positions 95 to 541 of the family's 3401-position model. The record is from RNAcentral. Lineage: Eukaryota; Fungi; Basidiomycota; Tremellomycetes; Cystofilobasidiales; Mrakiaceae.
GAAGCGGGAUGAGCUCAAAUUUAAAAUCUGGCGGCCUCAGGUCGUCCGAGUUGUAGUCUAGAGAAUCGUUUUCCGCGUUGGCCUGUGUACAAGUCCCUUGGAACAGGGCGUCAUAGAGGGUGAGAAUCCCGUCCUUGACACAGAUUACCAAUGCUUUGUGAUGCGAUCUCGAAGAGUCGAGUUGUUUGGGAAUGCAGCUCAAAAUGGGUGGUAAAUUCCAUCUAAAGCUAAAUAUUGGCGAGAGACCGAUAGCGAACAAGUACCGUGAGGGAAAGAUGAAAAGCACUUUGGAAAGAGAGUUAAACAGUACGUGAAAUUGUUAAAAGGGAAACGAUUGAAGUCAGUCAUGCUUUCCGAGACUCAGCCGAUUCUGUCGGUGUACUUCUCGGUUGGCAGGCCAGCAUCAGUUUCGAUCUGUGGAAAAGGUUGGAGGGAACGUGGCA